Molecule: ribosomal RNA, 616 nt
Filed under: uncultured bacterium
Lineage: Bacteria
Description: bacterial SSU rRNA
Rfam family: Bacterial small subunit ribosomal RNA
Source: RNAcentral
UACGGUCGCAAGAUUAAAACUCAAAGGAAUAGACGGGGGACCCGCACAAGCGGUGGAGCAUGUGGUUUAAUUCGACGAUACGCGAAGAACCUUACCUGGCCUUGACAUAGAUAGAACUUUCCAGAGACGGAUUGGUGCUAGUUUACUAGAGCUAUCAUACAGGUGCUGCACGGCUGUCGUCAGCUCGUGUCGUGAGAUGUUGGGUUAAGUCCCGCAACGAGCGCAACCCUCGUGUUUAGUUACUAACAGUUCGGCUGAGGGCUCUAAACAGACUGCCUGGGUAACCAGGAGGAAGGUGAGGACGACGUCAAGUCAUCAUGGCCCUUACGGCCAGGGCUACACACGUGCUACAAUGGGGUAUACAAAGAGCAGCAAUACGGUGACGUGGAGCAAAUCUCAUAAAAUAUCUCCCAGUUCGGAUUGAAGUCUGCAACUCGACUUCAUGAAGUUGGAAUCGCUAGUAAUCGUAGAUCAGCAAUGCUACGGUGAAUACGUUCCCGGGUCUUGUACUCACCGCCCGUCACACCAUGGGAAUUGAAUUCAUUCGAAGCGGGGAUGCUAAAAUAGCUACCUUCCACAGUGGAUUUAGUAACUAGGGUGAAGUCGUAACAAGGUA